RNAcentral lists this ribosomal RNA (351 nucleotides) under uncultured bacterium. RNAcentral describes it as "bacterial SSU rRNA". It matches the Rfam family "Bacterial small subunit ribosomal RNA", at positions 917 to 1267 of the family's 1533-position model. The record is from RNAcentral.
GGGCCCGCACAAGUGGUGGAGCAUGUGGUUUAAUUCGAUGCAACGCGAAGAACCUUACCAACCCUUGAAAUCUAGCGAAGUUCACAGAGAUGAGAAUGUGCCUUCGGGAACGCUAUGACAGGUGUUGCAUGGCUGUCGUCAGCUCGUGUCGUGAGAUGUAUGGUUAAGUCCAGUAACGAGCGCAACCCCUAUCCUUAUUUGCCAGCGCGUUAAGGCGGGAACUAUAGGGAGACUGCCGGGUGAAACCCGGAGGAAGGCGGGGACGAGGUCAAGUCAUCAUGGCCCUUAUGGGUUGGGCUACACACGUGCUACAAUGCUACGGACAAAGGGCAGCAAACUCGCGAGGACAAG